Molecule: small RNA, 89 nt
Filed under: Marmota monax (woodchuck)
Lineage: Eukaryota; Metazoa; Chordata; Mammalia; Rodentia; Sciuridae
Source: RNAcentral
GCCAGGCAUGGUGGUGCACACCUGUAAUCCCAGUGGCUUGGGAGGCUGAGGCAGGAGGAUCGCAAGUGCAAAGCCAGCCUCAGCAUCUU